UUUUCCUGUUUCCUAAACUACCCUCCCACCUCGUUCACUCUCGCGCUCACUCGCCCACUCUGUCUUGCCCAGCCGAAUCCCUAGCUUGCAUCGUCGGUGCCUCUCCCUCGCCUGCGUUGCCGGCUCAUCUCCCUAGCUCGCGUCGCCGGCGCCUCUCCCUCCCCCACGUCGCCUGCGCCUCUCCCUCCCCCGCUUCGCCGGCGCCUCUCCUUCACCCGCGUGGCCGACGCCUCUCCAUUGGCUCCGUCGUCGUCGCCAAGAUCUCAUUUUUAUUCUCCGGCGGCUGAUCCCUAGUGCGGCGGCUCGAUCUGGAAUGGCUUUCGUCCACUCCAACGCCGUGUGGUACGUCACCCUUUCCUAGCUCCCUCGCUGCUGCUCAUCUGGACUUGAUUUGAUCCACCCACCCCGUCUCUUCUCCCUCCUCUCUCUUCAUGGAGGGUCCCUCCUCUCUCUUCCCCUCCCUCCACUCUGCUGGUUGGUUGGACGGAAGACCACCGCUCGUCCGGCUUUGCUUCUUCCACCGCUGCUCCCCUCCCAUCAUAGUGCCAGAGACGCUGUGCCAAGGACGGAAGAAACCCAACUUCCUUACAAGUCUCAUGGAGUAGUAGUGCAAUCCAUGCAUGGAUUAGUAGUGCGAACCAGCACUAGUAGUGGUGCAAAGUCUCAUGGAGUACUGUGGUGCUGAAUUUGUAUGAAUUUACUAUGAUGAUGACAAUAUUCAUACUAAUUCAACAAAGCACCUUACUGAACAUACUCAAUAAUGUUCUGUGUAUAAAUUUACUGUGAUGUUGACAAUAUUCAUACCAAGUCUCAUGGAGUAUAAAUUUGGCAUUAAAAUGGAGUAAAUCAACCAUUUUCAUACUGACCAUACAAUGCUUGUUGUGAACAUUUGUAAACUGACCAUAUAUGUCAAGUUAAUAGUAAAUGGAGUAACUCACCUACUGUUGUUGCUAUUCCUGUGAUCAGUUGAUCUUGUUGUUGUUGCUGUUCACACAAUUGAUCUUGCUAUUGUUGUCGUUCAUGCGAUCAAUUUUCUGCUGUCCAAAUAAGCAACUAUGCUGCGGAGCAUUCAGAGUAACAGUUUGCUCGAGUGUGAUCUUCAAAAUCUGACCACAAUUUACUUGAUGAACAGCAGAGGAUCAAGUUGAAGAACCAAGUACUCCAAUCAGCAGAUCACUCCAAGCUGGAGUACCAAGCAGCUGUUACUCCAAUCACUCAAAUACGAAGAAUACAGGUCUCCAGCCAGGCGAAAGGGAUACUACUGGCGGCAAGCGAUGAACACCAUGGAGCAGCGGCGGACUUCACUACCUCAGGGGAUCAACAACCAGCUAUACCACGAUCGGAGCCAAAAUCAAGCAGCGGAGCAGCAGAGGAUUGGAGCUGUGGAUCAAUUUGAGAGGAGCAGCAGUGGAUUGGAGCUAUGGAUCAAUUCAAGAGGAGCGGUAGUGGACAGGAGAUGUGGAUCAAUUUGGGAAGGACGCCGGCGCUGUGGCGGAUGGCAUACCAGCGGUUGAUCGACCUCAGGCUCUCGAUUGGAGCGGAGGAAGGCGGCCGGCGGGGAAGGACGCCGGAGCUGCAGCGGAGGGUGAAGGAGCUGAGGACGCCGGGGGUGCGGGGCGGAUGGCGGAUGGAGGAAGACGACGAUCAUAUUUCAAAUUAGGGGUAGUUUGGUACAUUUUCCCGUUUUCACCUGGUCAGAAUAAUCCCCCAACGACAAAUAUAUCGGUAUAGAGGGAGUAUAUCUUUUGGGUAGUUUGUCAUUUGCUCUAGUGCUUCACUUAUAUCUUCUUAGAGCAUGACGGUAGUUUCAUUUUGAAGAAAUUGUUGAUCUAUCAUGCUUCAUUUAUAUUAUUUUGAGAGUCUUUUAGAACA
Long non-coding RNA from Aegilops tauschii subsp. strangulata, 1872 nucleotides. RefSeq lists it as uncharacterized. The record is from RefSeq and is a predicted model, not a curated record. NCBI's taxonomy places the organism in Eukaryota, Viridiplantae, Streptophyta, Magnoliopsida, Poales, Poaceae.